AAUGAUGGGUAUUACACUUCAAUGUCCCUUUUAUUUUUUCAUUAAAUUUCAUGUAACACACGAGCAACACAACAGUGGUUGUUCAGCAACAGCAACCAGUAGCAACUCGUCCUAAGAAAAGAGAUUGGAGUACCGGCAUUUGUGGUUGUUUCGAGGAUAUGUCUUCAUGUUGCGCAGUGACGUUUUGUACUGAAUACCCGGUAUAUACCACUUGUCCAGUAAACUUGGGGAGUCGUGCUGUCUGCCCUGCGCUAUGCCAGGAUUCCAGUCCUUUGUCCCUCUAAGAACAAAACUAAGAUCAGAGAACAACAUAGCCGGCAGUAUCUGUGAGGAUUGCUGUAUGGUAUUAUGGUGUCAACU
Molecule: long non-coding RNA, 360 nt
Organism: Saccostrea cuccullata (small rock oyster)
Lineage: Eukaryota; Metazoa; Mollusca; Bivalvia; Ostreida; Ostreidae
Exons: 3
Source: RefSeq, a predicted model, not a curated record